This 411-nucleotide ribosomal RNA is filed under the name uncultured Chloroflexota bacterium. RNAcentral's name for it is "uncultured Chloroflexi bacterium partial 16S ribosomal RNA". It matches the Rfam family "Bacterial small subunit ribosomal RNA", at positions 338 to 766 of the family's 1533-position model. Lineage: Bacteria; Bacillati; Chloroflexota. The record is from RNAcentral.
CCUACGGGAGGCAGCAGUUAGGAAUUUUGCACAAUGGGCGAAAGCCUGAUGCAGCAACGCCGCGUGGACGAUGAAGGCCUUCGGGUCGUAAAGUCCUUUUCAGGGGGAAGAAAUGGACGGUACCUCUGGAAUAAGCCUCGGCUAACUACGUGCCAGCAGCCGCGGUAAUACGUAGGAGGCGAGCGUUAUCCGGAUUUACUGGGCGUAAAGAGCGCGUAGGCGGUUCCGUAAGUUGGGUGUGAAAGCCCCGGGCUUAACUGGGGAGGGUCGUUCAAUACUGCGGGACUUGAGGGCGGACGAGGAGAGUGGAAUUCCGGGUGUAGUGGUGAAAUGCGUAGAGAUCGGGAGGAACACCCGUGGCGUAGGCGGCGUCCUGGCCGACACCUGACGCUGAAGCGCGAAAGCGGGGGG